GACGAACGCUGGCGGCGUGCUUAACACAUGCAAGUCGAACGGAAAGGCCCUGCUUUUGUGGGGUGCUCGAGUGGCGAACGGGUGAGUAACACGUGAGUAACCUGCCCUUGACUUUGGGAUAACUUCAGGAAACUGGGGCUCAUACCGGAUAGGAGCUCCUGCUGCAUGGUGGGGGUUGGAAAGUUUCGGCGGUUGGGGAUGGACUCGCGGCUUAUCAGCUUGUUGGUGGGGUAGUGGCUUACCAAGGCUUUGACGGGUAGCCGGCCUGAGAGGGUGACCGGCCACAUUGGGACUGAGAUACGGCCCAGACUCCUACGGGAGGCAGCAGGGGGGAAUAUUGCACAAUGGGCGGAAGCCUGAUGCAGCAACGCCGCGUGCGGGAUGACGGCCUUCGGGUGGUAAACCGCUUUCGCCUGUGACGAAGCGGGAGUGACGGUAAUGGGUAAAGAAGCACCGGCUAACUACGUG
RNAcentral lists this ribosomal RNA (468 nucleotides) under uncultured bacterium. RNAcentral describes it as "partial 16S ribosomal RNA". It matches the Rfam family "Bacterial small subunit ribosomal RNA", at positions 28 to 507 of the family's 1533-position model. The record is from RNAcentral.